GGGAAGGUGGCUCAGUGGUAUAGCGCUUGCCUUGCAUGCAUGAGGCCCUGGGUUA
This 55-nucleotide transfer RNA is filed under the name Dipodomys ordii (Ord's kangaroo rat). It matches the Rfam family "tRNA", at positions 1 to 54 of the family's 71-position model. Rfam says of the family: Transfer RNA (tRNA) molecules are approximately 80 nucleotides in length. Their secondary structure includes four short double-helical elements and three loops (D, anti-codon, and T loops). Further hydrogen bonds mediate the characteristic L-shaped molecular structure. tRNAs have two regions of fundamental functional importance: the anti-codon, which is responsible for specific mRNA codon recognition, and the 3' end, to which the tRNAs corresponding amino acid is attached (by aminoacyl-tRNA synthetases). tRNAs cope with the degeneracy of the genetic code in two manners: having more than one tRNA (with a specific anti-codon) for a particular amino acid; and 'wobble' base-pairing, i.e. permitting non-standard base-pairing at the 3rd anti-codon position. The record is from Rfam by way of RNAcentral. Lineage: Eukaryota; Metazoa; Chordata; Mammalia; Rodentia; Heteromyidae.